This 855-nucleotide ribosomal RNA is filed under the name Escherichia coli. RNAcentral describes it as "partial 23S ribosomal RNA". It matches the Rfam family "Bacterial large subunit ribosomal RNA", at positions 1 to 898 of the family's 2925-position model. The record is from RNAcentral. Lineage: Bacteria; Pseudomonadati; Pseudomonadota; Gammaproteobacteria; Enterobacterales; Enterobacteriaceae.
GGUUAAGCGACUAAGCGUACACGGUGGAUGCCCUGGCAGUCAGAGGCGAUGAAGGACGUGCUAAUCUGCGAUAAGCGUCGGUAAGGUGAUAUGAACCGUUAUAACCGGCGAUUUCCGAAUGGGGAAACCCAGUGUGUUUCGACACACUAUCAUUAACUGAAUCCAUAGGUUAAUGAGGCGAACCGGGGGAACUGAAACAUCUAAGUACCCCGAGGAAAAGAAAUCAACCGAGAUUCCCCCAGUAGCGGCGAGCGAACGGGGAGCAGCCCAGAGCCUGAAUCAGUGUGUGUGUUAGUGGAAGCGUCUGGAAAGGCGCGCGAUACAGGGUGACAGCCCCGUACACAAAAAUGCACAUACUGUGAGCUCGAUGAGUAGGGCGGGACACGUGGUAUCCUGUCUGAAUAUGGGGGGACCAUCCUCCAAGGCUAAAUACUCCUGACUGACCGAUAGUGAACCAGUACCGUGAGGGAAAGGCGAAAAGAACCCCGGCGAGGGGAGUGAAAAAGAACCUGAAACCGUGUACGUACAAGCAGUGGGAGCACGCUUCGGCGUGUGACUGCGUACCUUUUGUAUAAUGGGUCAGCGACUUAUAUUCUGUAGCAAGGUUAACCGAAUAGGGGAGCCGAAGGGAAACCGAGUCUUAACUGGGCGUUAAGUUGCAGGGUAUAGACCCGAAACCCGGUGAUCUAGCCAUGGGCAGGUUGAAGGUUGGGUAACACUAACUGGAGGACCGAACCGACUAAUGUUGAAAAAUUAGCGGAUGACUUGUGGCUGGGGGUGAAAGGCCAAUCAAACCGGGAGAUAGCUGGUUCUCCCCGAAAGCUAUUUAGGUAGCGCCUCGUGAAUUCAUCUCCG